This is a small nuclear RNA of Nomascus leucogenys (northern white-cheeked gibbon), 63 nucleotides long. Its record names the gene U7. It matches the Rfam family "U7 small nuclear RNA". Rfam says of the family: Animal histone pre-mRNAs are spliced by a different mechanism than nuclear pre-mRNAs and self-splicing introns. This processing involves the U7 snRNP, which contains only one RNA species: U7. Lineage: Eukaryota; Metazoa; Chordata; Mammalia; Primates; Hylobatidae. The record is from Ensembl.
AAGGGUUAACAACUCUUGUAGAAUUUGUCCAGCAGGCUUUCCAGUUUUUGCUGGAACGCCUCA